This 253-nucleotide ribosomal RNA is filed under the name uncultured prokaryote. RNAcentral's name for it is "partial 16S ribosomal RNA". It matches the Rfam family "Bacterial small subunit ribosomal RNA", at positions 525 to 777 of the family's 1533-position model. The record is from RNAcentral.
ACGUAGGAGGCGAGCGUUAUCCGGAUUUACUGGGCGUAAAGCGCGUGCAGGCGGUCUGGUAAGUUGGAUGUGAAAGCUCCUGGCUCAACCGGGAGAGGUCGUUCAAUACUGCCAGACUCGAGGACGGUAGAGGAAAGUGGAAUUCCGAGUGUAGAGGUGAAAUUCGUAGAUAUUCGGAAGAACACCAGUGGCGAAGGCGACUUACUGGACACAUAUUGACGCUGAGGUGCGAAAGCGUGGGGAGCAAACAGGA